Molecule: transfer RNA, 75 nt
Filed under: Limnochordales bacterium
Lineage: Bacteria; Bacillati; Bacillota; Limnochordia; Limnochordales
Also listed under: 1 other name
Description: tRNA-Cys
Rfam family: tRNA
About the family: Transfer RNA (tRNA) molecules are approximately 80 nucleotides in length. Their secondary structure includes four short double-helical elements and three loops (D, anti-codon, and T loops).
Source: RNAcentral
GGCGGGAUAGCCAAGGGGCAAGGCAAGGCUCUGCAAAAGCCUUAUACGUGGGUUCGAGUCCCACUCCCGCCUCCA